UAAUCGGCGCAGCCGUUCUUUCUUUUCUCCACCUUUUGUGUUUGUUCGUGCAAAUAAGAAAAUCAAGUAUCAUAUACCAAUUAUCUUCCUAUGAUCAUGAUGAUAUCAUGCCAUCAUCCUCGUAUUCAUCAUAGAAAGCAACACAAAUCAUAUGCCCUUAUUACUUCAUUUAUUAUUAUCAAAGUCAAUUUAUCCAUAUAAUUCCUACGGGUAUACAGAGUAUUUAUCAAAUUCAUACUCCAUCUUUGCGAGUGGAAUGUCAAAUCGAAGAAAUCGGAGCAGUGUGUGUCUCGUAGGUUAUUUUACUUUAACUUUUAUUCGGAAGUCAAGAUAAAUGGAGCAGAUUGAUCGUGAAGGACCGCAGUUCAAGUUGAAGGACCUCAAGUGUUAUCGUUUAGUCUUUUCAGUUGUACAUUUGUAAAUAGAUCACCUAGUAAUCAAGUUGUAAUAGUUUGAGUUUUGUAAGCCUAGCUUAGCUCUUGACAAUGUGGUCAAGUGUGGCGGUGAUACCUCCGAUUUAGGUGUAAGCUUCUGAAAUUUUAAUAAAGUAUAUAUUAUUUCUUAUUUA
This is a long non-coding RNA of Spinacia oleracea (spinach), 568 nucleotides long. RefSeq lists it as uncharacterized. The transcript is spliced from 2 exons. The record is from RefSeq and is a predicted model, not a curated record. NCBI's taxonomy places the organism in Eukaryota, Viridiplantae, Streptophyta, Magnoliopsida, Caryophyllales, Amaranthaceae.